Molecule: long non-coding RNA, 1618 nt
Filed under: Marmota monax (woodchuck)
Lineage: Eukaryota; Metazoa; Chordata; Mammalia; Rodentia; Sciuridae
Source: RNAcentral
GUCUAUUAAUCCUUACCAAUAUCAUAUGCUGCAAAUACCUUCAUCUGGUUUGUUAGCUUGUCAGUUUUUAUGUUCUUAAUUUUUUAGAGUAGUUUUGGAUUUAUAGAAAAAUUGAAUAGAAGAGAGGAGAGUUCCCAGAUACUUCAUCACCUUCCUUAUUUUAUCUUAUUAUUAAUAUCUUGCAUUACUGGAAAGUUGUUACAACUUAUCAACCUAUAUUGAUGCAUUAUUAACUAAUAAUGAUUGUUAUGAUUUGGAUGUGAGGUGUUCGCCAAAAGCUCAUGUGUGAGACAGUGCAAGAAGGCUUAAAGGAGAAAUGAUUGGGUUGUGAGACUCUUCACCCAAUCAGUGAUUUAAUCUGCUGAUAGGGAUUAACUGGGUGGUAACUGAAGUGGUAGGGUGAGGCUAAAGGAGGCGGGAAGUGGGGUGUAGCCUUGGUUUAUAUAUUUGUACAUGGAAGUGGAGUCUGUGCUUCUUGAUCACCUUGAUGUGAGCUGCUUCCCUCUGCCACACACUCUGCCAUGAUGUUCAGCCUCACCUCAAGCCCAGAGAAAUGGAGCCAGCCUUCUAUGGACUAAGACUUCUGAAAUCAUGAGCCCUCAAAUAAAUUCUUCCUCCUCUAUAAUUGUACUGGUCGGGUCCUUUAGUCACAGCCGUGAAAAAGCUGACUAAAAAGAUGAUUUACUUUUGGUUGCAUCCUUUGUGUUGCACAUUCUAUGGGUUUUGAAAAAUGCAUAUUAUUAGGUACAAACCAUCACAGCAUGAUACGGGAUAAUUUUACUAACUUAAAAAUACCACAUUCUCCACCUAGUCAAUCCUGACCCCACCUCCCACCAAAACCCUAGCCAUCUCUCUUUUUGCUAACUCUAUGAUUUUGCCUUUUCAAGAAUAUUCUGUAGUUGAAAUCAUAAAGUACUGCACCUUUUCAGAUUGGCUUCUUUCAUUUGGCAAUAUGUCAGUAAGGCUCCUCAAUGUCUUUUUUUUUUUCACGUUAAUUUUUUUUAUUUUUAGUUGUUCAAAAUAUUACAAAGCUCUUGACAUAUCAUAUUUCAUACAUUUGAUUCAAGUGGAUUAUGAACUCCCAUUUUUACCCCGUAUACAGAUUGCAGAAUCACAUUGGUUACACAUCCACUUUUUUACAUACUGACAACCUAGUGUAUGUUGUAUUCUGCUGCCUUUCCUAUCCUCUACUAUCCCCCUCCCCUCCCCUCUCAUCCCAUCUUCUCUCUCUACCCCAUCUACUGUAAUUCAUUUCUCUGUCUUGUUUUUUUUCCCUUUCCCCUCACUUCCUCUUAUAUGUAAUUUUGUAUAACAAUGAGGGUCUCCUUCCAUUUUCAUGCAAUUUCCCUUCUCUCUCCCUUUCCCUCCCCCCUCUCAUCCCUAUUUAAUGGUGAUCUUCUUCUCAUGCUUCUCCUCCCUGUUCUGUUCUUUGUUGCCCUCCUUAUAUCAAAGAAGACAUUUGGCAUUUGUUUUUUAGGGAUUGGCUGGCUUCACUUAGCAUAAUCUGCUCUAAUGCUAUCCAUUUCCCUGCAAAUGCCAUGAUUUUGUCAUUUUUUAGUGCUGAGUAAUACUCCAUUGUGUAUAAAUGCCACAUUUUUUUUUAUCCAUUCAUCUAUUG